CUUGGAUACGCGCGGCCGGGCCUCUCCGCCCCAUAGGCUGGCCGCCUGUCCCUCUUCCCCGGCCCACUCCUCAUUGGCUCGCGUCGCCUCCGGCUUCGGGGGUCCUGGAUUCGGAUGCUAAGAUGCGGGACUGAUUGGCUGGAACGGGGCAGAGACUGCUGAGGUCAACCCCGCCUCGCCCGGCGUCUCCCGGGCCCGGCUUGUGGAGUUCACGUAGGAGCUUCUCAUACCUUCCCGCCGAGCCCCGGGCUCCUGGCGUCGCGACCCCUUGCCGCACCUCUAGCGCCCUCAAGUUGGGGCUGGGUUACGUCCCUCCUGUUCCCCAGAGACACUCCUAAAAUUCCUUCGGUGAGGCAGAGCCUGGAAAAACCUACCCAGGAAAUCCCUGAGCUUGCUCAGCUGGAAAAGGGGGCUCCAUCAUGAACCGGGGCUUCGGGUUUUUAUAAACCCCGCUCACUGGAGCGCCCAUUGUCUGCUAAGCAGCUGCCUUGCUGCAAGAAGGUGAAUGCGAACUGAUGUGGGCCACAUCCUACGGAGACAGACAUCAGGACAUCCGUGACUCCUGCAAGCCUGAAGAAUAGUCUUUCCAUACGUUUGGCCUCUCUCACCUUCCUCUUCUGAGGGGAGUGAGAGCUUCGGACAAGUUUGGUUCCAG
This 655-nucleotide long non-coding RNA is filed under the name Homo sapiens (human). RNAcentral's name for it is "HSALNT0012206". The record is from RNAcentral. Lineage: Eukaryota; Metazoa; Chordata; Mammalia; Primates; Hominidae.